AUUAAACGCUGGCGGCAUGCCUUACACAUGCAAGUCGAACGGCAGCACGGGGGCAACCCUGGUGGCGAGUGGCGGACGGGUGAGUAAAGCAUCGGAACGUAUCCUGGAGUGGGGGAUAACGUAGCGAAAGUUACGCUAAUACCGCAUAUUCUGUGAGCAGGAAAGCAGGGGAUCGCAAGACCUUGCGCUCUGGGAGCGGCCGAUGUCGGAUUAGCUAGUUGGUGGGGUAAAGGCCUACCAAGGCGACGAUCCGUAGCGGGUCUGAGAGGAUGAUCCGCCACACUGGGACUGAGACACGGCCCAGACUCCUACGGGAGGCAGCAGUGGGGAAUUUUGGACAAUGGGCGCAAGCCUGAUCCAGCCAUGCCGCGUGAGUGAAGAAGGCCUUCGGGUUGUAAA
RNAcentral lists this ribosomal RNA (399 nucleotides) under uncultured bacterium. RNAcentral's name for it is "bacterial SSU rRNA". It matches the Rfam family "Bacterial small subunit ribosomal RNA", at positions 29 to 429 of the family's 1533-position model. The record is from RNAcentral.